UAAACUCAAAUUUGUAUGGAGUUGAAAAGUUUGCUUACGUUUGCCGCUAGGGGCGCUGAUCCAACUGCAUAAAAAUUUGCGGUA
This 84-nucleotide microRNA precursor is filed under the name Bombyx mori (domestic silkworm). RNAcentral's name for it is "mir-2807 microRNA precursor family". It matches the Rfam family "mir-2807 microRNA precursor family". The record is from Rfam by way of RNAcentral. Lineage: Eukaryota; Metazoa; Arthropoda; Insecta; Lepidoptera; Bombycidae.